GACGAACGCUGGCGGCGUGCCUAAUACAUGCAAGUAGAACGCUGAAGAGAGGAGCUUGCUCUUCUUGGAUGAGUUGCGAACGGGUGAGUAACGCGUAGGUAACCUGCCUGGUAGCGGGGGAUAACUAUUGGAAACGAUAGCUAAUACCGCAUAAAAUGGAUUAUCGCAUGAUAAUGCAUUGAAAGGUGCAAAUGCAUCACUACCAGAUGGACCUGCGUUGUAUUAGCUAGUUGGUGGGGUAACGGCUCACCAAGGCGACGAUACAUAGCCGACCUGAGAGGGUGAUCGGCCACACUGGGACUGAGACACGGCCCAGACUCCUACGGGAGGCAGCAGUAGGGAAUCUUCGGCAAUGGACGGAAGUCUGACCGAGCAACGCCGCGUGAGUGAAGAAGGUUUUCGGAUCGUAAAGCUCUGUUGUAAGAGAAGAACGAGUGUGAGAGUGGAAAGUCACACUGUGACGUAUCUACCAG
This 473-nucleotide ribosomal RNA is filed under the name Streptococcus sp. oral taxon 071. Its description in RNAcentral is "bacterial SSU rRNA". It matches the Rfam family "Bacterial small subunit ribosomal RNA", at positions 28 to 486 of the family's 1533-position model. The record is from RNAcentral. Lineage: Bacteria; Bacillati; Bacillota; Bacilli; Lactobacillales; Streptococcaceae.